Long non-coding RNA from Mastomys coucha (southern multimammate mouse), 6265 nucleotides. RefSeq lists it as uncharacterized. Lineage: Eukaryota; Metazoa; Chordata; Mammalia; Rodentia; Muridae. The record is from RefSeq and is a predicted model, not a curated record. The transcript has 2 exons.
UGGUGCUCCUGUGUCUCUUCUCAACUCCACAGCCCAGCCCUCAGCUAAGGCUCUAUGAGCCAGUUGAUAAAUUACGGCUCCUUGUGGAGCUCAGCUUCUCUCUGGGAUGAACAGUGUGCAUCGUAUCCCCUCAGGUUCACUGCCUCUCUCCCUCUUCCUGAAUCUGGGAUAUAAUACAGCCAUGCAUUGUAUAGCAUUGUUUUAGUCAAUGGCAGGACAUAGUGAUCUAAGACUGUACCUCUUAGUGACAUGGAAGCCACUUCUGUUUGUGAUGUAUACUUUUUAGUGUUUGCACAGGGCUGGUCACAUAGCAGCACAAAGCACAGAGUUGGAUGCUAGCCAUUAGUGACUGCUUAAAAUCUGACAAAACUCAAAACCAGAUGGAGGCUACAUAGUGGCCCUCUUAGGUCUGGUAAAGAAACUUGUGUUUAGGCCUACAAGUCCCUGAGACAUGUGCAAUAGAAGCAAAAAAAUGAGCAACCUUCCUUCUCUUACCAGCUCGGGUAGAAUUCUCCAGCUGGCCUCCUGGGUCCCAGCACCAUGCUGGCUCUGUGAAGGCUUCAUUCCCUUACUUUGCAUGUUCUCUGAUACUGUGGGUCCAAGACUACUUGGCUCCAGUCAGCCCAUGGGCUUCUGGAUUUUUCCAACUCUAAACGAACACAGAACUUUGACCAGAGCAGCUCUGGGAUGAGCUCGCAUCACUUUCUAUCCACCUCAGGCUUGCCUCCCAGCUCCAGACUUAAGGAGGGGUGAAAAUGCCAGGCGCUCUCUUCCAGCAUUCAGUGAGCAUGUGCCACCUGCCUGCUGGAGGCAGGGACAAGCCUCCAAAGGAGGUCAUACAAAGCAGGCAAGCAGGACUCUGAAAGGCUCUCCACCUCAGUCAAUCCUAAGCAUGUUUCCACAGCCAGCCCCACUACUGCAGGCAGAUUCAACAUGAAAGAAGUCAUCCACACCUUUGCCCCAAACAGAAAGCUGCCCUGGUAAGGCACUGUGCAGAAAGGAUUUCUUUAUGGCUUUUUCUUUCUUUUUUUUCUCAAGCUUUGGCAAUUAAGCAGUGAUUUCACCACUGGAUCUUGUAACUGUUUCUAUUCCUUUGUUCCUUACUGUUGAUGCAAGGCUCACACCUUCUGUAUCCCAAAUUCUCACUUUCAGGGAUGUGACUGAUGUGUGCUUCUUAUGCCCGGUAGUCCAGACUGCCUAGCUCUCACCGUUCUCUGUGACACCUGUACCCAUCUGCAGGUCUUAUGCCUCUUCUGCAAUCUGUGGUGUCCUGGAAAUUUGUUUUGACUUUAGCUGGUCUGGACAGGGUCUAGAGUACUUCAGGCUGGCCUUGAAUUUGCUGUAUGGCCGAGGCUGGCCACAUACGCCCAAUCCUCCUGCCUUAGCAUUUCAGGUGCUAGGUUUAUAGCUCUGAGAUACCAGUGCUUCAGCCUGAUGACUUUUCUAUUCAUUCCCUCAUUCCACUAACCUCCAAUCCCAUCCCACUAAGGCCCCAUCUACCCCGUAACAUAGCUGGAGGUGUACUCAAUGGUCAUGGUUUUAACUGUUCUGUGUAAAGUGUGUCUGUUAAAUUUUAUCUGAAUUGAUUAAGACUUACAUAACAUUCUCCUCUUCCAGAGAACCUAAAACAUACAAAAGAAAUUUACCUGGUUAUUUAUGUAUUUAUUGGUAUGUAUUCACUGUACAUAGAAAUAGGUUUUACAAAAACAUUUCCAUUCAAGUAUAGAUAGCAUGCAUUUGGAUGGCAUCUACCCCACUUUCCCUUCUCCCACUGAUCCCCCUAAAUAGUUUCAAAUUCUGUAUGGUUUUUAAAAAAUGUAAACUAGCAUGCAAAAUAAUGGGUUUUAUUAUGGCAUUUUCACACACACCCUUUUCUGUUCUCUUGUCCCCUGAGCUCCAGCUUGUACCCUUUAGCACCAUAAGUCCCCCUCCAACCUAUCAUGUCAUGCUAUUUAUGAACAAUAACUAUUAUACAGACUUGCUUAAUUUAUUAACAGCCCCCUCCCACCAUACCUUAAAUAGGAAUUCUUUGGUGUUCUUUGCACUGUAGAGCAGUUCUGAUGUUCCUAUUUUAUACCCAGCUCUUUUGUCUUCUUGUUCUCUGUAGAGAUACACUGAGUAAGUGGUGGAGGAUGGAAAGCAAGGAGUGGGGUGAGUGUUAAUUCCAGCCUUUCUAGCAAUCAGCAUGAGGUUUCAAGGGGCCUCUGUGGACUAAGGGUCAGACAACUCUCCACCCACUGUGAGAGCCUCUUCAGAGUCCAGUAUACACUGGAGCAAGCAAGAAAAGAGCCUUCAAUACUUUAUGGCUUUCUACUUGUAAGUGAAGCUGUUGGGGCUGACAUUCAGGCAGGAUUGUACAGUGUGCUUUCAACUUUCUAGGGCCUUGAGACAUGUUUUGUUUGUCCCUCAUGCAAGCCUCUUGCUGUUCUACCCUGUGACACAUACAAUACAGCCCUGUGGUACUGCCAAGAUCCACCUAGCUGCAGAGCUGUUUGCCACUUGUUAAUCUUUCAGGUGAGGAAUUGAGCUGACAGAGUGAGCCAGGCCAGCCUCUGGAGUAUCCUCAAGGCUGAGAGCCUCUGGAGUAUCCUCAAGGCUGAGAAGUAUAAGGCCCCCCUGGGCAGACCCAGCCAGACUAGCACUGAGAGCUUGCACCAACAGAUCCUCCCUGGAGUGGCUUGACAGGCAGCCUGAGGCUGUGCAUUCAAGCCAAGUCUCACAUAGGCCUGUCCAGGUAAUGUACCAAUGUUUUGUGAAGUCACUCAACACCACAGCUGCCACCAGUGAAUAUGCAAGUUCUUGGAGAGUCAAUAAGACCACAAGCAGGGCGUUUUUGGAAGCUGGCAGCAGGGAACCUAACUGGUAUUCAGAGUUUAGGGUUGGAGAUACUGGAUACCCUAGAUAACUGGUGGUGCCUGACUCUGCUUCCUAAUGAGCAAAUGAUGGCAAAGCCUGCAUGUUUUUGAGAUAGUCUCUACAGUAGUUUGUAAUGGGCCACUGCUAGAAAAUUCAGAACGCAGAAAUUCGCAAAUGAUACAAACGAGAGCUUUCUUUACUCGGAGGCACUGGCUUCCCAGCAUGUCUUAUUGUAAUACCAAGAUGGUUAGGAUGACGUCUGGUCUGUAUGGCCCAUGCACUCUCUGUGUCAGAGAGAGCCGCUUUGUUAUAAUCUGAGACCACAGCUUACCUUUGUUGGUUGAGCUGCUUUGUUAGUGUUAUCAACAACUACCUCAGAGAACAGUUUACAAGGAGCGGAUUGAUUUUGCUCCCAGCUUGAGCAGAGUGUAGUCCACAAUGAGCUGGCUCCAUUGUUACUGGGCCAUGGUGAGGCACGGACUGUGGGGGAGGCGCACAGCAGAGCUGGUAGGUUUAGUUCAUGGCAGCUAUGAAGCACAGAAAGAGAAGCUCAAGGGGCAAGCUGUCGCCUCUUCCCUGCAUGCCCACACUUAUUAUGCAUCUUCUGCCCUGUGUUCAUCUGCUCUGGGAAUGCCAUCCCAGAGCACUCCCAGAGGUGAGCCUGAUUAACCCCAACACUGGCUCAUUUUACCAAUAAAUGGAGACAUUUUGUGCACAGAUCUAAAUGUCCCUGAACGUAACAAAGGUAUAGAAAACAUUUGGUUAGGUUCAGAAUAUUACCAAGCAUGCUCCGGGUUCUGGAAGACCACACCAUAGGGGUCACAGGUGUCCCGUCGCCCGCACGCCAAGUCUGAGUCUACAUUGCAGACCAUGCUAUUUUCAGCAAUUCUCUUUUUAGUAAGUCAUCUGACAGCUUCAUUCUGUCUUUUAGUUUCAAUGUGCCAAAGCCCAUGUGUAAGGAAAUACAUAUUAUUUGAUUGUGGAUUGAUUUCCUUCCCUUACUCCUCCUUUAUUCCAACUACAGAACCUCUGAGCUUUGUUUUUUUUUUUCUUCCUUCAGUUUUAUAUAUGUGUCAGACUUACUACAAAUUUCAUUUAGAGGUGGCUCUAGAAUGGCGGUCGGAGCUCCAAGAGUUGAACUAAUGAACGUUAGCCAUCAGUCCUUUCAGCUGUUCUGAGCAUCUGCUGCCACUCUGGAAGUGUGUCUACUGACCUACACUGCCCAUGGUCACACACCACAAGGGGCAGGGAACCCCUAGCUGGACUGAGUUCUACGUGAAAAGGUGACUGGGCUAUUGUGGCCUGAAGAAUAGAAACAGCCUGAAUCUGUUUUCUUCUUUGCCCCUGACACACAAUCAAGGAUAAUGAUGUUUGUUCUCCAAGCACAAGUUUGUUCCAUCACAUGUUCCUGGAAUAAAUCGACUAAAUGGGUAUGCUCCUGAGAAGUACCAUCACAUCACAGGCUUCCUGAGGGCCCAACCAUCGGCGUGCAGCCCGUAGCACCUCCAUACAGGCGAGCAAUGAAUUUAAUUGGAGGUACAAUGAUUUAGGUAUAAAAAAAAAAAUCUAAGAAAAAAAUCUAAGUAAAAGCUCAUUGAACUCAUAUGUCCCUUUGGUUAAAAAUAAAGGUGCUAAAUGACUGGUAAUCUUUCCUCUAAGGGAACUUAACUGUUGUAAAUGCCUAGGAGAGCCAUUAAGUGAAGGGUGCUAAGUGAAUGGUGGUAAGUGGGUUUCAUUUUGAUAGAAAAAAAAAAUGAACCUCAAGGGAGUGACUGGUUCUGAAGAACUUAACUGCCUGGCUCCAGUGUUUACAAACGUUGCUUCCUUUCAGUGUUGAAGAUACAAUCCGGCACCCAAGAAGCUCUGCCCUUCUUACCAGCCCCCUCUCCAGCAUGUCUUUACUCAUAAGAGUCCUGGAGAAAAAAAAAGAUUGAGAAACAAGAAAGCAAUGUUUUCCUCCUAUGACCUGUUCAGCGUGUUUCAUAAUGAAAACAAAGAAAGCCAUUCACUUGCUCUUAGAAAUUUGGACAUGUUCAACACUAAAAUUUGCCAAGAAAAAUGUGCCCUGGAGAGAGACACUGCCCAAGAGCCGUGUGUUCUCCUUGGUGACAAAACAAUCUUUGCACUGUCUCCUAAUUGACUAUCAUGUGGAGAGAAUCAAAAGCUACCUUUGUCUCUUGAUGAUCAAUACAAACUGGGAUCGUAGCAUGCACACAGGAAUCAAGUCACUGUACACUCUGACACACAGCAGAUAAAAGGAUAUCACCUUCAUUGCAGAGCACUAUAUCAAAUUUGAGCAUAGAUUUUCUACUUGUGAAAUUAAAAAAAAAAAAAAAUGAAAUCCUUCUCACAACAACUGGAGCUGAACACACAAUAGCCCUGCCAACAGCUUGAGCCAAAUCCAAUAAAAUAAAGGAAGAUGUUUAUGGCAUUUUAUCCUGUGUCCCAACAGAGCAGCCUGCUGCCACCCGGCAUUCAAGUUCCUCCAUUGUCCACCCUAAUGGCUUAAUAAGACAAAUCCUCAGGAGGAAAAUAGCUACCUGGAAAUGGUUCCAGGAAAAAAUAUGACUUUAUAAAAGGUUGGUUGCAAAUCCCACUACGAAGAGAAGAGCAGGCACUACAAUUAGGGUGUGCAUUCAGGCAAUGCCUCUUGGAGGUUUUCUAUCGCCUUAAAGAAUGAGUUUCCUCAUUGAAGUGUUAGCAAGGCAUGAAUCCAAGAGGGAGCUAUCUGCUAGAAUCAGGUUUUGUGCGUGCGUGGGCGCAUGUGCCCACAUGUGUUCAUCCUGCUAGGAAGUGAAAUGCUUAUACCCCUUUAAACUUGAUGGGGCAGGGGCCUGUAGAGAUAGCUCAGUAGAUGAGAGAACUUGCUAUGUUUGAUCAGUUUCCAGCACCUAGAUCAGGUAACUCAGAAUUGCCUGUAACUCUAGUUCUAGGGGAUCGAAUGACCUCUUCUGUCCUCUGCAGGCACUUGCACACUGGUGUUCAGCACACAGACAGGCACACACACACAUUAAUUUAAAACAAUUAAAUAAGAUGAGGCACGUGUGGCAUAUUUUUGGGACUUGGGGAACAGCCAAGAGAGCAAUGAGUUGAAAAUCUACAGAGAAUGAAAAAGCAAAUGAGACAGGUGGGGCCAUAUCACAGGAGACUCAGAAGGCAGCUGGAUAGAAAAGUGACAGGAAACAGUCGCAACGAAACAACCUCUGGACACAGCUGGGGUUAUCCCAAGCAGACACAAGCAGAAUGUGUUUUUAUGCCUCCAGAGAUUUAAAAAUGUGUUCUUAAAGCACCUACAAUAAAACUUCAUUUUCCUUUUAGUACAAAGUUCUCUUAUCUUUAACAUAUGUAUGUGUGUGUGUAAGUAAUAACCAUCAAAAUAAAUACCCAUAAUAGUUGCAAAACCCCAAGA